ACCUGCAUUCGAAAGUGAUCAUGGUCUGUCUGUGUCCUGGUCAUUGAUAGUGCAGGGAGAGGAGUUGCUGAAAGCGCUUCCCCGUGUUUGGAGGGUCCCUUCCUGUCCCUUCUAAACUCUGGAGCUUUCCCACA
Molecule: small nucleolar RNA, 134 nt
Organism: Ailuropoda melanoleuca (giant panda)
Lineage: Eukaryota; Metazoa; Chordata; Mammalia; Carnivora; Ursidae
Gene: SNORA71
Rfam family: Small nucleolar RNA SNORA71
About the family: The members of this family belong to the H/ACA class of snoRNAs which bind a number of proteins (including dyskerin, Gar1p and Nop10p) to form snoRNP complexes. This class of snoRNAs are thought to guide the sites of modification of uridines to pseudouridines by forming direct base pairing interactions with substrate RNAs. This family includes U71 (SNORA71), ACA39 (SNORA39) and ACA60 (SNORA60).
Source: Ensembl